GGAGGCUAUAUACAGGGUAUUACGGUACAGAGUCAAUGUGGAGGCUAUAUACAUGGGGUACAGGUACAGAGUCAAUGUGGAGACUAUAUACAGGGGGUACUGGUACAGAGUCAAUGUGGAGACUAUAUACAGUGGGUACCGGUACAGAGUCAAUGUGGAGGCUAUAUACAGGGUGUUACGGUACAGAGUCAAUGUGGAGGCUAUAUACAGGGGGUACCGGUACAGAGUCAAUGUGGAGGCUAUAUACAGGAGGUACAGGUACAGAGUCAAUGUGGAGGCUAUAUACAGGGGGUACCGGUACAGAGUCAAUGUGGAGGCUAUAUACAGGGGGUACCGGUACAGAGUCAAUGUGGAGGCUAUAUACAAGGUGUUACGGUACAGAGUCAAUGUGGAGGCUAUAUACAGGGGGUACCGGUACAGAGUCAAUGUGGAGGCUAUAUACAGGAGGUACAGGUACAGAGUCAAUGUGGAGGCUAUAUACAGGGGGUACCGGUACAGAGUCAAUGUGGAGGCUAUAUACAGGGUAUUACGGUACAGAGUCAAUGUGGAAACUAUAUACAGGGAGUACAGGUACAGAGUCAAUGUGGAGGCUAUAUACAGGGGGUACAGAGUCAAUGUGGAGACUAUAUACAG
This is a long non-coding RNA of Oncorhynchus tshawytscha (Chinook salmon), 633 nucleotides long. The record is from Ensembl. Lineage: Eukaryota; Metazoa; Chordata; Actinopteri; Salmoniformes; Salmonidae.